RNAcentral lists this ribosomal RNA (468 nucleotides) under uncultured bacterium. RNAcentral describes it as "partial 16S ribosomal RNA". It matches the Rfam family "Bacterial small subunit ribosomal RNA", at positions 28 to 507 of the family's 1533-position model. The record is from RNAcentral.
GACGAACGCUGGCGGCGUGCUUAACACAUGCAAGUCGAACGGAAAGGCCCUGCUUUUGUGGGGUGCUCGAGUGGCGAACGGGUGAGUAACACGUGGGUAACCUGCCCCUGACUUUGGGAUAACUUCAUGAAACUGGGGCUAAUACCGGAUAGGAUCUCCUGCUGCAUGGUGGGGGUGGGAAAGUUUCGGCGGUUGGGGAUGGACUCGCGGCUUAUCAGCUUGUUGGUGUGGUAGUGGCUUACCAAGGCUUGGACCGGUAGCCGGCCUGAGAGGGUGACCGGCCACAUUGGGCCUGGGAUACGGCCCAGACUCCUACGGGACGCAGAGCUGGGGAAUAUUGCACAAGGGGCGGAAGCAUGAUGCAGCAAAGCCGCGUGCGGGAUGUGGUCCUUCGGGUUGUAUACUGCUUUCGCCUGUGACGAGGCGUGAGUGACGGUAAUGGGUAAAGAAGCACCGGCUAACUACGUG